This 537-nucleotide ribosomal RNA is filed under the name uncultured bacterium. Its description in RNAcentral is "bacterial SSU rRNA". It matches the Rfam family "Bacterial small subunit ribosomal RNA", at positions 102 to 674 of the family's 1533-position model. The record is from RNAcentral.
ACGGGUGAGUAACGCGUGGGAACCUUCCCUGUGGUACGGAAUAACUUCCGGAAACGGAAGCUAAUACCGUAUAUCCCCUCCGGGGGAAAGAUUUAUCGCCAUAGGAUGGGCCCGCGUUGGAUUAGCUAGUUGGUGGGGUAAUGGCCUACCAGGGCGACGAUCCAUAGCUGGUCUGAGAGGAUGAUCAGCCACACUGGGACUGAGACACGGCCCAGACUCCUACGGGAGGCAGCAGUGGGGAAUAUUGGACAAUGGGCGCAAGCCUGAUCCAGCCAUGCCGCGUGAGUGAAGAAGGCCUUAGGGUUGUAAGGCUCUUUUGGCGGGGACGAUAAUGACGGUACCCGCAGAAUAAGCCCCGGCUAACUUCGUGCCAGCAGCCGCGGUAAUACGAAGGGGGCUAGCGUUGUUCGGAAUCACUGGGCGUAAAGCGCACGCAGGCGGAUUGAUAAGUCAGGGGUGAAAUCCCGGGGCUCAACCUCGGAAUUGCCUUUGAUACUGUCUAUCUUGAGUUCGGGAGAGGUUGGCGGAAUUCCUAGU